UGGAUCACGACGAACGCUGGCGGCGUGCCUAAUACAUGUGGGUCCAACGCGGAAGAGAGGAGCUUGCUCUUCUUGGAUGAUUUGCGGGCGGGUGAGUAGGGGGGAGGUAAGCUGGCUUGCAGCGGGGGAUAACUAUGGGAAACGAUAGCUAAUACCGCAUAACACUGGAUGACACAUGUCAGUUAUUUGAAAGGGGCAAUUGCUCCACUACAAGAUGGACCUGCGUUGUAUUAGCUAGUAGGUGAGGUAACGGCUCACCUAUGCGACGAUACAUAGCCGACCUGAGAGGGGGAUCGGACACACUGGGACUGACACACGGUCCAUACUCCUACGGGAGGCAGCACUAGGGAAUCUUCGGCAAUGGGGGCAACCCUGACCGAGCAACGCCGCGUGAGUGAAGAAGGUUUUCGGAUCGUAUAGCUCUGUUGUAAGUCAAGAACGAGUGUGACAGUGGAAAGUUCACACUGUGACGGUAGCUUACUAUAAAGGGACGGCUAACUACAUGCCAACAGCCGCGGUAGUACGUAGGUCCCGAGCGUUGUCCGGAUUUUUGCGCGUGCUUGUGCGCACGCCGUUUGAUAAGUCUGAAUUUAAACCGCUGUGGUCUCACUCUAGUGCGGUGUGCAUACUGUCAUACUCUGCGUGCACAAAGGCAGUCUAUAACUUCCAACACCUAGCUACCCAUCGCGUACGAUCUAUGACUGCACGGCUAUCUAAUCAUCUUCGCUCUCGUGGCUUACUGACGUUAGACGUCAGUAUUCGUCAGAGGUCGCCUUCUUCACUGCCG
RNAcentral lists this ribosomal RNA (787 nucleotides) under uncultured bacterium. RNAcentral describes it as "bacterial SSU rRNA". The stretch from base 9 to 543 matches the Rfam family "Bacterial small subunit ribosomal RNA", at positions 28 to 545 of the family's 1533-position model. The record is from RNAcentral.